This 87-nucleotide transfer RNA is filed under the name Micavibrio sp. Its description in RNAcentral is "tRNA-Leu". It matches the Rfam family "tRNA". From Rfam's summary of the family: Transfer RNA (tRNA) molecules are approximately 80 nucleotides in length. Their secondary structure includes four short double-helical elements and three loops (D, anti-codon, and T loops). Further hydrogen bonds mediate the characteristic L-shaped molecular structure. tRNAs have two regions of fundamental functional importance: the anti-codon, which is responsible for specific mRNA codon recognition, and the 3' end, to which the tRNAs corresponding amino acid is attached (by aminoacyl-tRNA synthetases). tRNAs cope with the degeneracy of the genetic code in two manners: having more than one tRNA (with a specific anti-codon) for a particular amino acid; and 'wobble' base-pairing, i.e. permitting non-standard base-pairing at the 3rd anti-codon position. The record is from RNAcentral. Lineage: Bacteria; Pseudomonadati; Bdellovibrionota; Bdellovibrionia; Bdellovibrionales; Pseudobdellovibrionaceae.
GCGGGUGUGGCGGAAUUGGUAGACGCACCAGAUUUAGGUUCUGGCGAGGGUUUCCUCGUGGGGGUUCGAGUCCCUUCACCCGCACCA